This is a small nucleolar RNA of Mobula hypostoma (lesser devil ray), 84 nucleotides long. RefSeq annotates it as small nucleolar RNA SNORD11B. NCBI's taxonomy places the organism in Eukaryota, Metazoa, Chordata, Chondrichthyes, Myliobatiformes, Myliobatidae. The record is from RefSeq and is a predicted model, not a curated record. The transcript has a single exon.
UGACAGCAGUGAUGAUGAAGACUUUGUCAUUCUGCCUGAAUAAAUGGUGAAGGUUUUUAGUCACUACCUCAUCUGAGACUCUCA